ACGAACGCUGGCGGCGUGCCUAAUACAUGCCAGUAGAACGCACAGUUUAUACCGUAGCUUGCUACACCAUAGACUGUGAGUUGCGAACGGGUGAGUAACGCGUAGGUAACCUGCCUGGUAGCGGGGGAUAACUAUUGGAAACGAUAGCUAAUACCGCAUAAUAUUAAUUAUUGCAUGAUAAUUAAUUGAAAGGUGCAAUUGCACCACUACCAGAUGGACCUGCGUUGUAUUAGCUAGUAGGUGAGGUAACGGCUCACCUAGGCGACGAUACAUAGCCGACCUGAGAGGGUGAUCGGCCACACUGGGACUGAGACACGGCCCAGACUCCUACGGGAGGCAGCAGUAGGGAAUCUUCGGCAAUGGACGAAAGUCUGACCGAGCAACGCCGCGUGAGUGAAGAAGGGUUUCGGAUCGUAAAGCUCUGUUGUAAGAGAAGAACGGGUGUGAGAGUGGAAAGUUCACACUGUGACGGUAUCUUACCAGAAAGGGACGGCUAACUACGUG
Molecule: ribosomal RNA, 504 nt
Filed under: uncultured bacterium
Lineage: Bacteria
Description: partial 16S ribosomal RNA
Rfam family: Bacterial small subunit ribosomal RNA
Source: RNAcentral